This 439-nucleotide ribosomal RNA is filed under the name uncultured bacterium. RNAcentral's name for it is "bacterial SSU rRNA". It matches the Rfam family "Bacterial small subunit ribosomal RNA", at positions 958 to 1397 of the family's 1533-position model. The record is from RNAcentral.
AACGCGAAGAACCUUACCUACUUUUGAAUCCACGGAAUCUGGUAGAGAUACUGGAGUGCCUUCGGGAACCGUGAGACAGGUGCUGCAUGGCUGUCGUCAGCUCGUGUCGUGAGAUGUUGGGUUAAGUCCCGUAACGAGCGCAACCCUUGUCCUUAGUUACCAUCGAGUAAAGUCGGGGACUUUAAGGAGACUGCCGGUGAUAAACCGGAGGAAGGUGGGGAUGACGUCAAGUCCUCAUGGCCCUUACAAGUAGGGCUACACACGUGCUACAAUGGCCGGUACAAAGGGUAGCGAACCUGCGAAGGGGAGCCAAUCUCAAAAAGCCGGUCGUAGUCCGGAUUGGAGUCUGCAACUCGACUCCAUGAAGUUGGAAUCGCUAGUAAUCGUGGAUCAGCACGCCACGGUGAAUACGUUCCCGGGCCUUGUACACACCGACAUA